GACAGAGGGUGCAAACGUUGUUCGGAUUUACUGGGCGUAAAGCGCGCGUAGGCGGCUUGGCAAGUCGGAUGUGAAAGCCCACGGCUCAACCGUGGAAGCGCAUCCGAAACUGCUUCGCUCGAGUCUCGGAGAGGAAGGUGGAAUGCUUGGUGUAGAGGUGAAAUUCGUAGAUAUCAAGCAGAACACCUGCGGCGAAGGCGGCCUUCUGGACGAUGACUGACGCUGAGACGCGAAAGCGUGGGGAGCAAACAGG
This 253-nucleotide ribosomal RNA is filed under the name uncultured bacterium. RNAcentral's name for it is "partial 16S ribosomal RNA". It matches the Rfam family "Bacterial small subunit ribosomal RNA", at positions 524 to 776 of the family's 1533-position model. The record is from RNAcentral.